RNAcentral lists this ribosomal RNA (543 nucleotides) under uncultured bacterium. RNAcentral's name for it is "bacterial SSU rRNA". It matches the Rfam family "Bacterial small subunit ribosomal RNA", at positions 777 to 1322 of the family's 1533-position model. The record is from RNAcentral.
AAUAGAUACCCGGGUAGUCCAUGCCGUAAACGUUGGGAACUAGAUGUGGGGACCAUUCCACGGUCUCCGUGUCGCAGCUAACGCAUUAAGUUCCCCGCCUGGGGAGUACGGCCGCAAGGCUAAAACUCAAAGGAAUUGACGGGGGCCCGCACAAGCGGCGGAGCAUGCGGAUUAAUUCGAUGCAACGCGAAGAACCUUACCAAGGCUUGACAUACACCGGAAAGGUCUGGAAACAGUCCCCCCGCAAGGCCGGUGUACAGGUGGUGCAUGGUUGUCGUCAGCUCGUGUCGUGAGAUGUUGGGUUAAGUCCCGCAACGAGCGCAACCCUCGUUCUAUGUUGCCAGCGGUUCGGCCGGGGACUCAUAGAAGACUGCCGGGGUCAACUCGGAGGAAGGUGGGGAUGAGGUCAAAUCAUCAUGCCCCUUAUGUCUUGGGCUUCACGCAUGCUACAAUGGCCGGUACAAAGGGCUGCAAUACCGUAAGGUGGAGCGAAUCCCAAAAGCCGGUCUCAGUUCGGAUUGAGGUCUGCAACUCGACCUCAUG